This 1535-nucleotide ribosomal RNA is filed under the name uncultured prokaryote. Its description in RNAcentral is "partial 16S ribosomal RNA". It matches the Rfam family "Bacterial small subunit ribosomal RNA". The record is from RNAcentral.
AGAGUUUGAUCCUGGCUCAGAUUGAACGUUGGCGGCAGGCCUAACACAUGCAAGUCGAACGGUAACAGCAGGAGCUUGCUCCUGGCUGACGAGUGGCGGACGGGUGAGUAACGCGUAGGAAUCUACCCAAUAGCGGGGGACAACCCGAGGAAACUCGGGCUAAUACCGCAUAAGCUCUACGGAGUAAAGAAGGCCUCUAUUUAUAAGCUUUCACUAUUGGAGGAGCCUGCGUCGGAUUAGCUAGUUGGUGGGGUAAAGGCCCACCAAGGCAACGAUCCGUAGCUGGUCUGAGAGGACGACCAGCCACACUGGAACUGAGACACGGUCCAGACUCCUACGGGAGGCAGCAGUGGGGAAUCUUGGGCAAUGGGCGCAAGCCUGACCCAGCCAUGCCGCGUGUGUGAAGAAGGCUCUAGGGUUGUAAAGCACUUUCAGUAGGGAGGAAAAGUUUAUGGUUAAUAUCCAUAGACCCUGACGUUACCUACAGAAGAAGCACCGGCUAACUCUGUGCCAGCAGCCGCGGUAAUACAGAGGGUGCAAGCGUUAAUCGGAAUUACUGGGCGUAAAGCGCGCGUAGGCGGUUUGAUAAGUCGGAUGUGAAAGCCCUAGGCUCAACCUAGGAACUGCAUUCGAUACUGUCUGACUAGAGUAUGGUAGAGGUAAGUGGAAUUCCAGGUGUAGCGGUGAAAUGCGUAGAUAUCUGGAGGAACAUCAGUGGCGAAGGCGGCUCUCUGGACCAACACUGACGCUGAGGUGCGAAAGCGUGGGUAGCAAACGGGAUUAGAUACCCCGGUAGUCCACGCCGUAAACGAUGUCAGCUAACUGUUGGGCGGGGUUUUCUGCUUAGUGGUGCAGCUAACGCAAUAAGUUGACCGCCUGGGGAGUACGGCCGCAAGGCUAAAACUCAAUUGAAUUGACGGGGGCCCGCACAAGCGGUGGAGCAUGUGGUUUAAUUCGAUGCAACGCGAAGAACCUUACCUACCAUUGACAUACAGUGAACUUUCUAGAGAUAGAUUGGUGCCUUCGGGAACUCUGAUACAGGUGCUGCAUGGCUGUCGUCAGCUCGUGUCGUGAGAUGUUGGGUUAAGUCCCAUAACGAGCGCAACCCUUGUCCUUAGUUGCCAGCGCGUAAUGGCGGCACUCUAGGGAGACUGCCGGUGACAAACCGGAGGAAGGCGGGGAUGACGUCAAGUCAUCAUGGCCCUUAUGGGCUGGGCUACACACGUGCUACAAUGGCCGGUACAGAGGGUUGCAAUGCCGCGAGGUGGAGCCAAUCCCAGAAAGCCGGUCCUAGUCCGGAUUGCAGUCUGCAACUCGACUGCAUGAAGUCGGAAUCGCUAGUAAUCGCGAAUCAGAAUGUCGCGGUGAAUACGUUCCCGGGCCUUGUACACACCGCCCGUCACACCAUGGGAGUGGGCUGCAAAAGAAGUGGGUAGUCUAACCUUCGGGAGGACGCUCACCACUUUGUGGUUCAUGACUGGGGUGAAGUCGUAACAAGGUAGCCGUAGGGGAACCUGCGGCUGGAUCACCUCCUU